AUGGGUAUGGGAGGAAUGGGCAAAGCUCACUGCUCAGAGCUCAAGGAAUGAGUUGUUUGAGUCUUCCCUAAACCUCCCAAACCCAU
RNAcentral lists this microRNA precursor (86 nucleotides) under Picea abies (Norway spruce). RNAcentral describes it as "miR482k stem-loop (pab-MIR482k)". Its record names the gene pab-MIR482k. Lineage: Eukaryota; Viridiplantae; Streptophyta; Pinopsida; Pinales; Pinaceae. The record is from miRBase by way of RNAcentral.